This is a long non-coding RNA of Pseudopipra pipra, 721 nucleotides long. RefSeq lists it as uncharacterized. The transcript is spliced from 2 exons. The record is from RefSeq and is a predicted model, not a curated record. NCBI's taxonomy places the organism in Eukaryota, Metazoa, Chordata, Aves, Passeriformes, Pipridae.
GUCCGGGGGGCGGGACUGGGCAACGCGCCGGGCGCGUCUGAUCCGGGCGCUCCGCCUGAGCAGUCAGACCUUAUAAAAGCGAUGAGUAAAGAACUCGCUUAAAUGCCGAUGCAGCAUUUGCAGGUCCUUCCAGCUCAAUGUGCUAGGCCCUUGAUUCUCUUUUCCUUUCCAUCCAAGAAAGACAAAAAUCCAGCUAAGGAAAAAGUAUGGGACAGAUAACCAGACUGCACCAGUAUAUCUUCACAUGAAGAAAGAAGAAAUGAAACUUCCCAGAAGUUAAUGCUUGUGAACUUCUAAGAUUAAAGCUGUUAUAUACUAUCAUAGAACACUGGAUAGAUACCAAACAAAAAUUGUCCCAACAAGUUUACAUUUGCAGCAUGGAAAAAGAAGGAAGCUGCAUAAUUCAUAUUCUACAGUUUACAGAAAACGUAAAAUGUUUUGACUCCAAAUCAAAUAUUUUGGCUUUUUGCCAUUUAUCAAGUGUUCUGCUCAUAUCACUUAAGACAAUUUAAUGACAACAAGAAUGCUUACAGAAAGAGGCAAUGUUGGCUUUCAUUCACUGGGAAAUCAACUUUGCUGGUGAAAAAUUACUAAAGCGUAUACAAAAGAUUUACAGAAAUAAAAAUAUGGUAUUAUACUGAUGCAAGUAUAGUUUUGAAUAUCCAUUUAAAAUCAAUAUGUUAUGUUGCAAAAUAAAUGUUAAUGUACCUUGAAAAGUAAA